This 133-nucleotide ribosomal RNA is filed under the name uncultured bacterium. RNAcentral's name for it is "partial 16S ribosomal RNA". It matches the Rfam family "Bacterial small subunit ribosomal RNA", at positions 356 to 479 of the family's 1533-position model. The record is from RNAcentral.
GGGGAAUAUUGCGCAAUGGGGGGAAACCCUGACGCAGCGACGCCGCGUGAGCGAUGAAGGCCUUCGGGUCGUAAAGCUCUGUCAGGUGGGAAGAACCCUUCGUCGACUAAUAAUUGACGGAGCUGACGGUACC